RNAcentral lists this ribosomal RNA (493 nucleotides) under uncultured Rothia sp. Its description in RNAcentral is "bacterial SSU rRNA". It matches the Rfam family "Bacterial small subunit ribosomal RNA", at positions 1 to 507 of the family's 1533-position model. Lineage: Bacteria; Bacillati; Actinomycetota; Actinomycetes; Micrococcales; Micrococcaceae. The record is from RNAcentral.
AGUACGUUUAGAUCCGUGACGUCAGGACGAACGCUGCGGCGUGCUUAACACAUGCAAGUCGAACGAUGAAGCCUAGCUUGCUAGUGGAUUAGUGGCGAACGGGUGAGUAAUACGUGAGUAACCUACCUUUAACUCUGGGAUAAGCCUGGGAAACUGGGUCUAAUACCGGAUACGACCAAUCUCUGCAUGGGGUGUUGGUGGAAAGCGUUAUGUAGUGGUUAUAGAUGGGCUCACGGCCUAUCAGCUUGUUGGUGAGGUAACGGCUCACCAAGGCGACGACGGGUAGCCGGCCUGAGAGGGUGACCGGCCACACUGGGACUGAGACACGGCCCAGACUCCUACGGGAGGCAGCAGUGGGGAAUAUUGCACAAUGGGCGCAAGCCUGAUGCAGCGACGCCGCGUGAGGGAUGACGGCCUUCGGGUUGUAAACCUCUGUUAGCAGGGAAGAAGAGAGAUUGACGGUACCUGCAGAGAAAGCGCCGGCUAAUACGUG